GAUGAAGAACGUAGUGAAAUGCGAUAAGUAGUGUGAAUUGCAGAAUUCAGUGAAUCAUCGAAUCUUUGAACGCACAUUGCGCCCCUUGGUAUUCCAUGGGGCAUGCCUGUUCGAGCGUCAUUUGUACCCUCAAGCUUUGCUUGGUGUUGGGCGUCUUGUCUUGUAUUAGACUCGCCUUAAAGUCAUUGGCAGCCAGUGUUUUUGGUAGUAAGCGCAGCACAUUUUGCGUCUUAGUCAUUGAAUCGUGGCAUCCAUGAAGCCUUUUUUCACUUUUGACCUCGGAUCAGGUAGGGAUACCCGCUGAACUUAAGCAUAUCAAUAAGCGGAGGA
This 330-nucleotide unclassified non-coding RNA is filed under the name soil metagenome. Its description in RNAcentral is "partial contains 5.8S ribosomal RNA, internal transcribed spacer 2, and large subunit ribosomal RNA". The stretch from base 1 to 120 matches the Rfam family "5.8S ribosomal RNA", at positions 35 to 154 of the family's 154-position model. The record is from RNAcentral.